Molecule: transfer RNA, 69 nt
Filed under: Ictidomys tridecemlineatus (thirteen-lined ground squirrel)
Lineage: Eukaryota; Metazoa; Chordata; Mammalia; Rodentia; Sciuridae
Description: Spermophilus tridecemlineatus (thirteen-lined ground squirrel) tRNA
Rfam family: tRNA
About the family: Transfer RNA (tRNA) molecules are approximately 80 nucleotides in length. Their secondary structure includes four short double-helical elements and three loops (D, anti-codon, and T loops). Further hydrogen bonds mediate the characteristic L-shaped molecular structure. tRNAs have two regions of fundamental functional importance: the anti-codon, which is responsible for specific mRNA codon recognition, and the 3' end, to which the tRNAs corresponding amino acid is attached (by aminoacyl-tRNA synthetases). tRNAs cope with the degeneracy of the genetic code in two manners: having more than one tRNA (with a specific anti-codon) for a particular amino acid; and 'wobble' base-pairing, i.e. permitting non-standard base-pairing at the 3rd anti-codon position.
Source: Rfam by way of RNAcentral
GGGAUUGUGGCUUAGUGGUAGAGUACUUACCUUGCAUGUUUGAGGCACUGGGUUUGAUUCUCAGCACCA